RNAcentral lists this ribosomal RNA (519 nucleotides) under Triticum aestivum (bread wheat). Its description in RNAcentral is "partial small subunit ribosomal RNA". Lineage: Eukaryota; Viridiplantae; Streptophyta; Magnoliopsida; Poales; Poaceae. The record is from RNAcentral.
AUGUGGAGCUACCCCGCUGGCAAGAUCAUAGUCCCCACUGGAUUGCUCCAAUUGUUCAAUUCAGAAGAUGCUGAAGUUGCCUUUAUAAUUGCUCAUGAGGUAGGUUUAUUGGAUCAAUUGGCUGAUGUGUGCCUUUUGGAUUUUCUCUUGUCAAUUCAAACUAACUAUCAUUGGCCCUCUUUUAUUUUUAUAGAUUGCCCACAUCGUUGCAAGGCACGAGUGUCAGAGAGCAUCAUCUACAAGUGGCUUCCGAGACCCCUGAGGAUGCCCUUCACCCGAAGGGCGGAGAGAGAGGCAGAUCAGAUUGGAAUGAUGAUACUUGCUGCAGCCGGUUUUGAUCCUCUCAUAGCCCCACUGACCUUUAAGAAGCUAGGAGAUAGUAAUAGAAGAUUCUUCUCUACUCAUCCUUCAAAUAAGAAAAGAUCACAGCUUUUAUCUGAACCUAAGAUCAUGGAGGCAGCCCUAGAGUUAUAUAGAGUACACAGAGAAUCUAAUCCCGAUACUCAAGGUUCUCUCUAA